This 263-nucleotide unclassified non-coding RNA is filed under the name fungal sp. RNAcentral describes it as "partial internal transcribed spacer region". The stretch from base 1 to 46 matches the Rfam family "Eukaryotic small subunit ribosomal RNA", at positions 1786 to 1831 of the family's 1831-position model. The record is from RNAcentral. Lineage: Eukaryota; Fungi.
AAGUCGUAACAAGGUUUCCGUAGGUGAACCUGCGGAAGGAUCAUUACCAAAUCCAAAUUCUUAACCCCAUGUGAACUAUUGUUUUAGUCUGUCUUUGGGAGAAGGAAAUUUAUUUUUUCUUCUCCCAAUAGAGUCCGGCAUAACUUUAUUGUUGUGUCCAGAUUCGAAAAAACAAAACCAUAAACCACUUGAUUUUCUGUUGGAAUUACUUUUAUUAAUUUAUAAAUAAAAGACAACUUUUAACGGCGGAUCUCUUGGCUCGU